Non-coding RNA from Macaca mulatta (Rhesus monkey), 5981 nucleotides. Lineage: Eukaryota; Metazoa; Chordata; Mammalia; Primates; Cercopithecidae. The record is from RefSeq and is a predicted model, not a curated record.
ACCCCAGUGCCUCUGGGUCCAGUCUCCCUGCCCCCGUCCCGCGGGUUGCGACAGCGCCUCCCUGGGAGGGACUUUGGGGCAGAGGUGGGGGGGCCUUGGCACGGCGACAGCUCCUGCGAGCGGUCCCCGGGCCAUGCCAGGGGGAUGUCCCUCUGAAUACCGAGGCUGACAAUCCUGGAGUAGAGUCUAUUUCCAAGGGGGAACUGGGAUACACAGGCGCUCCCACCCCCGAACAACUCCGUGGGGCCGAUGAGUCACUGAGUAGGGGACAUUGGGAGAGGGAUUUAACAAUCCUUCCUAGGAAAAAAGGAAUCUUUGAGAAGGUCACGUUCCUCUCCGGAGGGCGGUUUCCUCAUCUGUAGAAUGGGAAGGGCUUCCGUGCUCAAUCCGGAAGCUGACCUCUUCCUCGUCAGGUUCCAGGGGCCACUGGCAGGCGCCACGCUCUGGGAACCGGGGUGUACUGCGCGGGUGUGUACCCGUGAGGCGAGGGUGGGGGCCGCAGCAUCGUCCAGGGGGCCUCCUAUGUCCUCUUAAACUGCUGCCCUUUUAGGCUCUGUGGCCCCCUGACCUUGCCACAUCACUUCGGCACCUCUCUGGGCCUCUACUUUCACAUCUGUAAGAUAGAGACAAUCAUAGAAGAAUCUUCCUCCCAGGGUUCUCUGAGGAUUGAAUGGAAAAGGUAUGCAAAGUGUAUCGCCUGGCACACUUAGUGGGGCACCCAACAUGUGUGAAUUCCCUCUGCUUCAGCCUGAUCAGGGUGGGGGGAAGGACAGGCGAAGCCCCAGGAGGAGCCCCACGUGAGUGUCCUUGUCCCCCUCCUAAGGCUGAAACUCUACAUUCCCAAUCUGUAAAAUGGGCUUGUCAGUGCUCUCCUUCCCCUGCUUGCCUCAGCUCUCCUUCUCCCCGUAUCCCCUCAGAUGUGGGGAUGCCUCCAUCUCUCAAUCCCGCUCUUGCCCUGUCUUCCUUAACACAAUCCCAGAAGCCAACUCAGCACCCCUUGUUGGGACUCAGAAGGAAUUCUCCUGGGCAGAUCUUUCCCUGGCCCUUCUCUUCCCUGCCUUCGCACACAGGCCUGUCCAGUUUCACCCUGGUCACCCCUUUUCUGACCCUUGUUCUCAAGAGAAGGUGUUUCCUUCCUUGGCUGCUCAGCGCAGGCGUGGGUGGGAGCCAGUAAGGGUGCAGAAGCGACAAACCACUUCCUAUCUCUCUGGGCAGGCAGGAGGUCACUAGAAGGGAAGUCUCCUUGGCUAUAGGCUAUCAGAACCAAGAUCUGGCUGGGCAUGGGAUAAGCGUGGGAGUGGGGAAGACUCCCCCUUCCCAGGCAGUGAGACUGGGGACUCCUACCCCUCCACUGGGCAAGUUCUUUACGCCCCGUCUUUGUCUGCCCUCUUCCCUUCCACUCAUCCACACACAUCCUCCCUCUCCUGUCCCCCGACCUUCCUCUCUGGGCAAAAGACUUUACAGAGCUUUACACCUUGUUACAGUGUGCCUUGGGUUAUAUUUAGUUAUGAAGAGUCUGUCUUCCCUGCUAGUCUGAGAGGUCCCCAAGGGCAGGGACUAACUCAGUCCCCUCCAAUCCCCCUCUGUACCUUUUAUACACUGUAUGAUCUCAAAAAACUCCUUGAUGUCUCUGGGACUUCAUUUCCUAAGAAACGUGGACAAGGUGAUAUCUAAGCUCUCUUCCAGCCCUGGUGGGCCAGGCUUCUACGGCCUAGGCAGCUGGGAACCUUCCUCUACCCCUUCCAUGACCCUUCAUCAGCACCCUUCAUCAGCACCCACCACCCCUGUGUUUUGACCUUGUCUACCCACCGGCUUCCUCCAACUCUCCCUCCUGUCUCAUUCCUUUUCUAGGGCUUGUGAGGUCAUAGGCACCAGAUCGCUCUGGGCUUGAGGAGACCUGGGGACUUUUCUUUAGGGCCCUCUGGGAGGUGAGCUCCCCAGGCAGACCCCCUUUCUGAGAUGGAGAGCCCAGAACUAGCCUGAGCUUCCAUCCGGGACUUUCCAGACCCACAGUUGGCCAGGUAGUCCAUUGGCUAGAGCUCUAGUUUUGGGCCAGGACCCUUGGGUUCUGGCUUCAGCAUCGGAGCUGAGGCACCACCCCUUGUAGCCCCUGGCUUUUCUAUUGCAAUUGCCUUCCCAAGGCUACAGCACUGGGUUGGGGACUCUGAGGUUGUGGUGGGGGCCCUUGGCGACCCUCACCUUCCCCCAUCUCUUUUGAGGCAUUGGGGCUUCACCCCUCUGGGCCACUCAGGAAGUGUGUCCCCUUCCAGAGACUCCUUGAAUAAUAACCACAAUAUUUCUAGGAUGUUAUUGUUUUGGUUGUUCUCACUAGAGCAAGAAAUCUGAGGCCCUGAGACACCCUACAGCCUGCCCAGGGCCACAGAGCUUAUCUCGGCACAGGCAGGAGGUGCCCCAUGUCUGCCUGCCGAGGAGGCUGUUUCUGCGCAGUCUCCUUGAGCGGGAUGCUCUUCCCGGAUCUGUCUUCAAGGCUGCUUGGUGCACUCUCCUACCUACACCCUGUCUCCCUUUCUGCUAGCGGCAAACUUCUUCAAGAGUUCAUUCAAGCCCCCCACCCCCUCAAAGCCUUCCUUGGACCUCCCCAACCUAGUCCUGGGCUAGGAGGCUUCCUCCGCUUGUAAUCACUGUCUUGCUUACCUUGCCCAGAGGACUGUGGAUACCUUGAGGAUAGGGACUGAGGUUUGUUUAUAACUGUAUCCUCAGCACCCAGGACAGUGCCUGGAGAAGCUGGUCCUCAGGAAGUGUUGUUGACCGAUUAAGCAAACACCUCAUUUCCUAAGAAGGAGUCAUAGGCAACAAGGCCACUGCGACAUUAGGUACAGUCCCAGCAGUAGGUGCUGCCCACUUUGCUUUUGAGUGUUCAGAACCAAGAUGGUUCUUGCUGGAAGGGCUCCCGAGAGAAGCAAUAACGGCCUUGUGGGUUGGGCUGCAGCAGAGAAAUGGACUAAACCUCUCCCAGCCUUUAUGGCCCAAACCCCAUCCUCCCUCCCCAACUGACUGCUGCUCCAGGCAGGAUGGAUGGAGCAUGUGCGGUGCCUCCCCCGCAGUGAGUGUCCCAGGGGAACCCGGCAUCAGGGAUUUCCUGGCAAGGAGAUGGAAAGAUAAAAUAAUUGCAAGGUACAGCUCAGAGCAGGCAUGACAGCAGAGAGAAGAAAGCAGAACAGUGGGGGACGGGGAGACCCAGGCACAGGAAAUGCUUCGAAGGGGGAAGAGGCAGGUUGGAACUGACAAGACAGAGGGGCAGGGUGUGGAAUAGCAAAGCUUCCCCUCCAAGCACCGCCUGAUUCCUUUUAGCCCCUUGCGGCUCCUUGGAGGCCUGGAGCACCCCCAAACCAGGCUGUAGCUCCCACACCCCAGCCUACCCCUUGUCCUCUCCCCUGAAGUGGGGUCUGCUUCCUCCAGACCCCAGUCUGGUGGUGACCCCACUGGUCCCACCCAUGGCCCUCAGUGAGGCUGCCCCUCUGCCACCAACCUGCACUUGAUCUGAUUUGGCAUGCAGGGGAGAGUGCUGGCUGCUGUGCCCGAUUCUGGAGUUUUCAAAGCAAGAAGAAUUAAUUAGUUCUGUGGGCCACAGUCAGCAGAUCCCACACCUGGAACCAAGGCUAAGACACGCAGUUUUAAAGUUCUUAGCAGAAUCCCCUCUUGGGGCUUAGGUGGAGCAGCUGCCUCCUUGACCUGCCUUGCUGUGCCCUGGAGUGGGACUCCAGGCCACAACUCAACUUGCUUUGAGAGUUCCUUUCCUUCCUGGCAACCACGGUCCUGGAUUAGCCCUGGGUCUCCUAGAUUCAGGCAGGAGUCAUUGAACACCGCGGGCUCAGCACUCAGAUGGCGGGGAUUCCUGUUUGGGCUUCUCCAUACACAAAGUCCUUCAAUGGACCCUGCAAGCCUGCUUCCUCCUUCUGAGGUUAUACAGAACACCUGUCCCUAGAAGGUGUCCAUCAGUGUUGGUGCCCUCUCCCUGGCUUGGUCCCUCUGCAGGAGGGGCACCAGGUGCACCAGGUGAGGGUGCCCUGUGCCGCCACCUGGUGUCUGACGCCCUCAUUGCACUGCUGUUGCCAGUCCCGCUCCACAGGCUGCUCAACUGGCCCAAGGAAAGAGAAAAUAGGCCAAGGGGCACCAGGCUGUGGCAGGUGGGGACUAGGGUGGAGACAGGAGUGAAAGCUGUUUGGAAAGUGGGCGCGGUUUAGGUAGGUAGGGCAGGGCUAGAGGAGAGGAAGAGAGAAGAGGGCGGGAUGGGGAAGAGAACAGGUACCAUGGGGUUCAAGGGCAGGGUUAUGACGUGGAAGGGUGGUGCCUGGGAACCCAGAGUGAUUGCAGAGCUACCCUUGGCCGGCUCUUGGACAAGCGUCUGGAGUUGAGGGAUGCCUUCUCCAGUGAUUGAACCCCUCUUGCCACCAUUCCCUAUGGCCAAAGGCUGGUGGCCCACCAGGUGGGAGGCUGGGGGCCUCUCUAAGCCUCUGAGUUUGCCAUGCGGGGAACACGUGUGCCUAUUUGUAUGAAUAUGAAUUGUGACUACUUUGGAAAAGCGCCCCCCAGCAAGUAAUUUUUGAGCAGGAUUCUUCCCAUUGUGCCCCAUUUCCUCUACACUGAGUAGAGACAGGAGUAGUGUGGGCUGGAGGUUGGCCAGACCUAGGGUCAAAUCCCAGCUCUGCCAUUCCCUGGCUGUGUGACCAUGGGCAAUUCACUUAACCUCUCUGACCCCCGCUGCCUCAUGGAGAAAUAGCAAUCAAACUUCCGUGCUAGGGUGUUUUGAGGAGUGAGAGACUGCAUAUGAGCCUCAGAUUUGUUUUUAUCCCCAGCUCAGCUCACUCCUCUUCCCAGUCCCCACCCCCACACAGACCUUUUCCUGGAGUCUUGGGGGUGGAGGAAGCAGAAGCAGCCAAGCUUGAGGUGGGGGCCUACAGCCGCUGACACAAUUUCUUCUGAACCCCAAAGGGGAAGGCUGAGGACAAAGGCGCCAGGGUAGAUGUUCCUACUUCUAAAAGCCUGAAGCCCCUAACCAGUUCCAUUCUGCCCCUGGAGUCCUCAUCCAAGGCCUGCUGCCCCUACCAGCCACUCCCCACCCCAGCCUCCUUCAGUUUCUCCACCCUCUACCCCCACCCGCUACGUAUCCCAGAGCAGCAUCAAAUAACCACCCAGACAAGCAGCAUGAGGUUAGCAGUCUUGAUAUUAUUAUUAAGAUCCAGCGGCAGCUGCUUUUCCACCUCAAAACCCUUUUAAUGAGACACAACAGUUUCCAUCAUUGAUAAAGAUUUUACAUCGUUGGGGGGAGAGGUCACAGUUCUCUCCCCGACUCCCCCAAAAUACCCACUUUGACUCUACUAUUAAUAUUUCCACAUCACUAUCCAGAGGACCCCCUCCAGGCACUGCCCUUUUCCAGAGAAACCCUCCAGGCCACAGAGAGGGCUGCUGGCGAGGAAGCAGCUCCUACAAGCGCUCCCUCUCCCCACCCAAGGAGGCCAGAGGAAAAAGUCUGACAUUAUUGCACACCCUAAAAGGAGAAAACCAAGCAUUGGCUUCAAGGACUGGUAUCAGUUCUCUCCAAAAGAGCAAUGAGGAAAGCUCUCACCCAGCUUAGAAAACACAAGGCUGGACAGCGCCUCCAGGUCCACUCGCCCGGCAGCCUGGUGCUCCCAGUUCCCAGCUGACCAGAAAAUGAUGACGAGGUUAAAGGAGAAAAUAAGUUACAUUACAGUUUCCAAAAUGGUUCUCGCUCUCCGCUGAAGAUGGGCCACCGUUGGGGCUGCAAUGCGCUCGCGGUCCCAGCUUGUGCUUUGCAAGAAGAGGGAUUAUAACUAGACUGUUAUUUUAGGUUAAAAUAGCCAAGAGACAGACGCCUUCGCCUCAAAAAUAUUCUGAGACACAUAAAAGUAGAAGGAAACAAGUCUCUUCAGUCACAAAAUGUCGUACAUCCCGCAUAUACUAGAUUCAAUUAAUUUAAUAAAAUAGAAUAUACAUAGAGA